RNAcentral lists this ribosomal RNA (253 nucleotides) under uncultured bacterium. RNAcentral describes it as "partial 16S ribosomal RNA". It matches the Rfam family "Bacterial small subunit ribosomal RNA", at positions 524 to 776 of the family's 1533-position model. The record is from RNAcentral.
UACGUAGGGUGCAAGCGUUAAUCGGAAUUACUGGGCGUAAAGCGUGCGCAGGCGGCUUUGCAAGACAGAUGUGAAAUCCCCGGGCUCAACCUGGGAGCUGCAUUUGUGACUGCAUGGCUGGAGUGCGGCAGAGGGGGAUGGAAUUCCGCGUGUAGCAGUGAAAUGCGUAGAUAUGCGGAGGAACACCGAUGGCGAAGGCAAUCCCCUGGGCCUGCACUGACGCUCAUGCACGAAAGCGUGGGGAGCAAACAGG